CCUACGGGAGGCUGCAGUGGGGAAUACUGGACAAUGGGGGGAACCCUGAUCCAGCCAUGCCGCGUGUGUGAAGAAGGCCCUCGGGUUGUAAAGCACUUUCAGUGAGGAAGAACGCCUGGUGGUUAAUACCCAUCAGGAAAGACAUCACUCACAGAAGAAGCACCGGCUAACUCCGUGCCAGCAGCCGCGGUAAUACGGAGGGUGCGAGCGUUAAUCGGAAUUACUGGGCGUAAAGCGCGCGUAGGUGGCUUGAUAAGCCGGUUGUGAAAGCCCCGGGCUCAACCUGGGAACGGCAUCCGGAACUGUCAAGCUAGAGUGCAGGAGAGGAAGGUAGAAUUCCCGGUGUAGCGGUGAAAUGCGUAGAGAUCGGGAGGAAUACCAGUGGCGAAGGCGGCCUUCUGGACUGACACUGACACUGAGGUGCGAAAGCGUGGGUAGCAAACAGGAUUAGAUACCCGAGUAGUC
RNAcentral lists this ribosomal RNA (465 nucleotides) under Vreelandella stevensii. RNAcentral's name for it is "partial 16S ribosomal RNA". It matches the Rfam family "Bacterial small subunit ribosomal RNA", at positions 338 to 795 of the family's 1533-position model. The record is from RNAcentral. Lineage: Bacteria; Pseudomonadati; Pseudomonadota; Gammaproteobacteria; Oceanospirillales; Halomonadaceae.